This 28-nucleotide small RNA is filed under the name Bombyx mori (domestic silkworm). RNAcentral describes it as "ovarian small RNA-25715". The record is from RNAcentral. Lineage: Eukaryota; Metazoa; Arthropoda; Insecta; Lepidoptera; Bombycidae.
UCAGCGUUGGUUUGGUUGUGUGCCCGGG